CAGUAGGGAGGAAGGUAGUGUAGUUAACACCUGCACUAUUUGACGUUACCUACAGAAGAAGCACCGGCUAACUCCGUGCCAGCAGCCGCGGUAAUACGGAGGGUGCGAGCGUUAAUCGGAAUUACUGGGCGUAAAGCGCAUGCAGGCGGCCUGUUAAGUCAGAUGUGAAAGACCCGGGGCGUUAACCUCGGAAUUGCAUUUGAAACUGGCAGGCUAGAGUCUUGUAGAGGGGGGUAGGAAGUUUCUAGGUGUAGCGGUGAAAUAGCGUAGAGAUCUGAAGGAAUACCAGUGGCGAAGGCGGCCCCCUCGGACAAAGACUGACGCUCAGAUGCGAAAGCGUGGGGAGCAAACAGGAUUAGAUACCCUGGUAG
Molecule: ribosomal RNA, 371 nt
Filed under: uncultured bacterium
Lineage: Bacteria
Description: bacterial SSU rRNA
Rfam family: Bacterial small subunit ribosomal RNA
Source: RNAcentral